This is a long non-coding RNA of Physeter macrocephalus (sperm whale), 1433 nucleotides long. RefSeq lists it as uncharacterized. NCBI's taxonomy places the organism in Eukaryota, Metazoa, Chordata, Mammalia, Artiodactyla, Physeteridae. The transcript has 4 exons. The record is from RefSeq and is a predicted model, not a curated record.
GAUGGCGUUGGUAACUGUAGCUGACGGUUCCCCGUGACCUUUAUUCUAGGGGGGGUUAGGGACGGUGGGAAAGCACGUUCGUCCCUGAAGCGCUGUUGAGGAUUAGGAUCGGAUUCCUCAAGAGUUGGGAGCAAUUAUCAGCGGCCUCCAGCCCCGCCAGACGCAGCUCGAGGAGAGAGAAUACACGCUACGACACCUGACACAGUGGACAUCGCAGUUGCGCGUACCCGAUCUGGGGGUUGCGGAGUUGCAAGUAGAGAAGAGGAACCCGAGCGUUCUCGACUUUGGGUUUCUCCGCGUGUGAAGUGGGAAUGAUAGUGUCAAAGGCAAGAAGGAGAAGGGGUUUAUUUGAGGCCCUGCGACGUGCUGAGGAAACCAAGGCCUAGAGAGAAGAAAUUAUCCAAAGUCUGAUAUCACCAGAAGACUUCCCAAGAACACACAGAUACUACAGAGUCCUAGUUAUCUAUGGUUGCAUAACAAACCAUUGCUGUGGCUUAAACGAUUUAUUUUGCUCUCGAAUUUCCAGUUUGGGUAGGGUUUAGUGGGGACAGCUCAUCUCUACUCCUCUGGACAACUUGAAGACUAAGAGCUGGAAUCAUCUGAGUGCUCAUUCAUUCAUAUGAUUAGCAAUUGAUGUUGGCUGUUGCCUGGAAUCUUUGCUGGGAUUAUCAACGCGAACAUCUGUAUGUGGCAUCUCCAUGUGGCCUAGCCUUCCUUACAACAUGUGACCAGAUUCCAAGGGUUUUCCCUGGUGGCGCAGUGGUUGAGAGCCCGCCUGUCUAUUCAGGGGACACGGGUUCGUGCCCCGGUCUGGGAAGAUCCCACAUGCCGCGGAGCGGCUAGGCCCGUGAGCCAUGGCCGCUGAGCCUGCGCGUCUGGAGCCUGUGCUCCGCAACGGGAGAGGCCACAACAGUGAGAGGCCCGCGUACCACACACAACACAAAAAAAGCCGCCAUCAAGAAGGAAUGUGGGGCUUUCCUGGUGGCACAGUGGUUGAGAAUCUGCCUGCCAAUGCAGGGGACAUGGGUUCGAGCCCUGGUCUGGGGAGAUCCCACAUGCCGCGGAGCAACUGGGCCCGUGAGCCACAGCUACUGAGCCUGUGCGUCUGGAGCCUGUGCUCCGCAACAAGAGAGACCGCAACAGUUGAGAGGCCUGCGCACCGUGAUGAAGAGUGGCCCCCACUCGCCGCAACUAGAGAAAGUCCUCACACAGAAAUGAAGACCCAACACAGCCAAAAAAAUAAAUAAAUUUAAAAAAAAAAAAGAAGGAAUGUGCCAGGAGUGCUAGUCUUAAAGAAGGGUAGGAGACGUGUAUGUCUGGCCAGAGCCUGUCAAAGAGAAGCCAGCACUGACUUUCAGAGCCUCAAAUAGGUGAUGAAUCAAGUAGGAAGAAAUUGAGAGGGCUCAGAAAAGGGCUUGUCCAUGGCCCAGAGG